AAAUUGAAGAGUUUGAUCAUGGCUCAGAUUGAACGCUGGCGGCAGGCCUAACACAUGCAAGUCGAGCGGUAGCACAGAGAGCUUGCUCUCGGGUGACGAGCGGCGGACGGGUGAGUAAUGUCUGGGAAACUGCCUGAUGGAGGGGGGUAACUACUGGAAACGGUAGCUAAUACCGCAUAACGUCGCAAGACCAAAGUGGGGGACCUUCGGGCCUCAUGCCAUCAGAUGUGCCCAGAUGGGAUUAGCUAGUAGGUGGGGUAACGGCUCACCUAGGCGACGAUCCCUAGCUGGUCUGAGAGGAUGACCAGCCACACUGGAACUGAGACACGGUCCAGACUCCUACGGGAGGCAGCAGUGGGGAAUAUUGCACAAUGGGCGCAAGCCUGAUGCAGCCAUGCCGCGUGUGUGAAGAAGGCCUUCGGGUUGUAAAGCACUUUCAGCGGGGAGGAAGGCGUU
RNAcentral lists this ribosomal RNA (456 nucleotides) under Klebsiella pneumoniae. Its description in RNAcentral is "bacterial SSU rRNA". It matches the Rfam family "Bacterial small subunit ribosomal RNA", at positions 1 to 455 of the family's 1533-position model. The record is from RNAcentral. Lineage: Bacteria; Pseudomonadati; Pseudomonadota; Gammaproteobacteria; Enterobacterales; Enterobacteriaceae.